CCUACGGGGGGCAGCAGUGGGGAAUCUUGCGCAAUGGGGGCAACCCUGACGCAGCCAUGCCGCGUGAAUGAUGAAGGCCUUAGGGUUGUAAAGUUCUUUUGCCGUGGAUGCGGUAACGGGAGAAUAAGCUCCGGCUAACUUCGUGCCAGCAGCCGCGGUAAUACGAAGGGGGCUAGCGUUGUUCGGAAUUACUGGGCGUAAAGCGCGCGCAGGCGGUUCGAUAAGUUGGGGGUGAAAUCCCUGGGCUCAACCCAGGAAUGGCCUUCAAGACUGUUGAGCUUGAGGACGAGAGAGGUGAGUGGAAUUCCCAGUGUAGAGGUGAAAUUCGUAGAUAUUGGGAAGAACACCGGUGGCGAAGGCGGCUCACUGGCUCGUCUGACGCUGAGGCGCGAAAGCGUGGGGAGCAAACAGGAUUAGAUACCCUUGUAGUC
RNAcentral lists this ribosomal RNA (431 nucleotides) under uncultured bacterium. RNAcentral describes it as "partial 16S ribosomal RNA". It matches the Rfam family "Bacterial small subunit ribosomal RNA", at positions 338 to 795 of the family's 1533-position model. The record is from RNAcentral.